AAGAUUAAUAUAAUUUAAAUAUUAUUAUUUAUUUUAGAAGAUAUAAAUGUUAUAACAAAAAAAAAUAUGAAUUUUUAUUCGUAAUAACGAUUCUAUUUUUAGUACGUUUUCUUACGCUUCGUUAUCGUAUAUAUGUCGUUGUAGUAAAUACGCAUUGUUACCUUGCAUACAAGAAUGAUCUUAGAAGUACAAUAACAAAAACAUUCGAUAAAUAAAACAUGAAAUCGCCGACGAUGGAAGAAAAUCUAUAAACAAGAAAGUGUCUAUGGAACUACAGCUCAGUUGAAAUAUUAGUUAUAUAAUCAACAAAAAUUAUGUGCUAUGAUUCGUAUAGAUUUUUCAAAAAUUCUAAAUUUCUGGCACACGUAAUCUGUAUAUAGAAAUAUUUUGAAGAAUGAAUUAAGCUGAAUCUAUGUGAAUAUUAUUCAAAAUCUAAGCGUAAAGUAACAAUAAGAAGAGUAAGAUGAUGAGUAGAUAAAGGACGAUAAGGAAAAGAUGGAGAAGGAAGAGUGCGGAACAUCCCCUAUAGUGUAUUUUCCUUCCACUUGUAAACAGUGUAAUUGCAGUAUAUUCUUUCAGUUGUUAUCUCAUGUUACAAUGUAUUGCAACAUAUUGCACCAUAUUGAAAUAUGUUAUAUCAGUUGCUAACUCACGUUCCAAAGUUGCUAUUGCACCAUUGUAUCAGUUGUUAACUCAUAUUGAAAGUUAUACUAAAUAUUUUACUUUAAUAUAUAUGUUACUUUAAAUAAUUAUAUUAAGGAUUUUG
Molecule: long non-coding RNA, 766 nt
Organism: Vespa crabro (European hornet)
Lineage: Eukaryota; Metazoa; Arthropoda; Insecta; Hymenoptera; Vespidae
Exons: 3
Source: RefSeq, a predicted model, not a curated record